AGAGUUUGAUCCUGGCUCAGAUUGAACGCUGGCGGCAGGCCUAACACAUGCAAGUCGAACGGUAACAGGAAGAAGCUUGCUUCUUUGCUGACGAGUGGCGGACGGGUGAGUAAUGUCUGGGAAACUGCCUGAUGGAGGGGGAUAACUACUGGAAACGGUAGCUAAUACCGCAUAAUGUCGCAAGACCAAAGAGGGGGACCUUCGGGCCUCUUGCCAUCGGAUGUGCCAGAUGGGAUUAGCUAGUAGGUGGGGUAACGGCUCACCUAGGCGACGAUCCCUAGCUGGUCUGAGAGGAUGACCAGCCACACUGGAACUGAGACACGGUCCAGACUCCUACGGGAGGCAGCAGUGGGGAAUAUUGCGCAAUGGGCGCAAGCCUGAUGCAGCCAUGCCGCGUGUAUGAAGAAGGCCUUCGGGUUGUAAAGUACUUUCAGCGGGGAGGAAGGGAGUAAAGUUAAUACCUUUGCUCAUUGACGUUACCCGCAGAAGAAGCACCGGCUAACUCCGUGCCAGCAGCCGCGGUAAUACGGAGGGUGCAAGCGUUAAUCGGAAUUACUGGGCGUAAAGCGCACGCAGGCGGUUUGUUAAGUCAGAUGUGAAAUCCCCGGGCUCAACCUGGGAACUGCAUCUGAUACUGGCAAGCUUGAGUCUCGUAGAGGGGGGUAGAAUUCCAGGUGUAGCGGUGAAAUGCGUAGAGAUCUGGAGGAAUACCGGUGGCGAAGGCGGCCCCCUGGACGAAGACUGACGCUCAGGUGCGAAAGCGUGGGGAGCAAACAGGAUUAGAUACCCUGGUAGUCCACGCCGUAAACGAUGUCGACUUGGAGGUUGUGCCCUUGAGGCGUGGCUUCCGGAGCUAACGCGUUAAGUCGACCGCCUGGGGAGUACGGCCGCAAGGUUAAAACUCAAAUGAAUUGACGGGGGCCCGCACAAGCGGUGGAGCAUGUGGUUUAGUUCGAUGCAACGCGAAGAACCUUACCUGGUCUUGACAUCCACAGAACUUUCCAGAGAUGGAUUGGUGCCUUCGGGAACUGUGAGACAGGUGCUGCAUGGCUGUCGUCAGCUCGUGUUGUGAAAUGUUGGGUUAAGUCCCGCAACGAGCGCAACCCUUAUCCUUUGUUGCCAGCGGUCCGGCCGGGAACUCAAAGGAGACUGCCAGUGAUAAACUGGAGGAAGGUGGGGAUGACGUCAAGUCAUCAUGGCCCUUACGACCAGGGCUACACACGUGCUACAAUGGCGCAUACAAAGAGAAGCGACCUCGCGAGAGCAAGCGGACCUCAUAAAGUGCGUCGUAGUCCGGAUUGGAGUCUGCAACUCGACUCCAUGAGGUCGGAAUCGCUAGUAAUCGUGGAUCAGAAUGCCACGGUGAAUACGUUCCCGGGCCUUGCACUCACCGCCCGUCA
RNAcentral lists this ribosomal RNA (1400 nucleotides) under uncultured bacterium. RNAcentral describes it as "bacterial SSU rRNA". It matches the Rfam family "Bacterial small subunit ribosomal RNA". The record is from RNAcentral.